Pongo abelii (Sumatran orangutan) is the source of this 148-nucleotide unclassified non-coding RNA. It matches the Rfam family "Metazoan signal recognition particle RNA". Rfam says of the family: The signal recognition particle (SRP) is a universally conserved ribonucleoprotein. It is involved in the co-translational targeting of proteins to membranes. The eukaryotic SRP consists of a 300-nucleotide 7S RNA and six proteins: SRPs 72, 68, 54, 19, 14, and 9. NCBI's taxonomy places the organism in Eukaryota, Metazoa, Chordata, Mammalia, Primates, Hominidae. The record is from Ensembl.
GCUGGGCAUGGUGGCGCAUGCCUGUAAUCCCAGCUACUCAGGAGGCUGAGGCAGGAGAAUUGCUUGAAUACAGGAGGCAGAGGUUGCAGUGAGUUGAGAUUACACCACUGCACUCCAGCCUGGGUGACAGAGUGAGACUCUGUCUCAA